RNAcentral lists this transfer RNA (73 nucleotides) under Schizostauron trachyderma. Its description in RNAcentral is "tRNA-Cys". It matches the Rfam family "tRNA". From Rfam's summary of the family: Transfer RNA (tRNA) molecules are approximately 80 nucleotides in length. Their secondary structure includes four short double-helical elements and three loops (D, anti-codon, and T loops). The record is from RNAcentral. Lineage: Eukaryota; Bacillariophyta; Bacillariophyceae; Naviculales; Stauroneidaceae.
GGCUAAAUAACAUAAAUGGGUAAUGUAAUAGAUUGCAAAUCUUUGAAUAUCGGUUCGAUUCCGGUUUUAGCCU